RNAcentral lists this ribosomal RNA (228 nucleotides) under Triticum aestivum (bread wheat). RNAcentral's name for it is "partial small subunit ribosomal RNA". The record is from RNAcentral. Lineage: Eukaryota; Viridiplantae; Streptophyta; Magnoliopsida; Poales; Poaceae.
AUGGAGAUUGCAAAUCAUAAUAUUAUUGUGUGGAACAUGCGGGGUCUCAACAAUGCAGCUAGAGGGGCUGCCAUGAGAAGUUUGGUGGAUGACGCCUUGGCGUCGGUAGUGUGCCUUCUGGAAUCCAAGCUGGAGAGGGUAGAUCGGCGCGUGAUCCACUCGCUGCUGGGGCUAAAAUUUGAUGCGUUCGUGGCCCUUCCUGCGCACGGCACGGCCGGCGGAAUCAUC